AUGAACGCUGGCGGCGUGCCUAAUACCUGCAAGUCGAGCGGACGGACGAGAAGCUUGCUUUUCUGAUGUUAGCGGCGGACGGGUGAGUAACACGUGGAUAACCUACCUAUAAGACUGGGAUAACUUCGGGAAACCGGAGCUAAUACCGGAUAAUAUUUUGAACCGCAUGGUUCAAAAGUGAAAGACGGUCUUGCUGUCACUUAUAGAUGGAUCCGCGCUGCAUUAGCUAGUUGGUAAGGUAACGGCUUACCAAGGCAACGAUGCAUAGCCGACCUGAGAGGGUGAUCGGCCACACUGGAACUGAGACACGGUCCAGACUCCUACGGGAGGCAGCAGUAGGGAAUCUUCCGCAAUGGGCGAAAGCCUGACGGAGCAACGCCGCGUGAGUGAUGAAGGUCUUCGGAUCGUAAAACUCUGUUAUUAGGGAAGAACAUAUGUGUAAGUAACUGUGCACAUCUUGACGGUACCUAAUCAGAAAGCCACGGCUAACUGCGUG
RNAcentral lists this ribosomal RNA (496 nucleotides) under uncultured bacterium. Its description in RNAcentral is "partial 16S ribosomal RNA". It matches the Rfam family "Bacterial small subunit ribosomal RNA", at positions 29 to 507 of the family's 1533-position model. The record is from RNAcentral.